This 1442-nucleotide ribosomal RNA is filed under the name uncultured bacterium. RNAcentral's name for it is "16S ribosomal RNA". It matches the Rfam family "Bacterial small subunit ribosomal RNA". The record is from RNAcentral.
GGACGAACGCUGGCGGCGUGCUUAACACAUGCAAGUCGAACGAUGAAGCUGGAGCUUGCUCCGGCGGAUUAGUGGCGAACGGGUGAGUAACACGUGAGCAAUCUGCCCUUGACUCUGGGAUAACUGCGGGAAACUGUAGCUAAUACCGGAUACGACACCUUCGGGCAUCCGAUGGGUGUGGAAAGAAUUUCGGUCAAGGAUGAGCUCGCGGCCUAUCAGCUAGUUGGUGAGGUAAUGGCUCACCAAGGCGACGACGGGUAGCCGGCCUGAGAGGGUGACCGGCCACACUGGGACUGAGACACGGCCCAGACUCCUACGGGAGGCAGCAGUGGGGAAUAUUGCACAAUGGGCGCAAGCCUGAUGCAGCAACGCCGCGUGAGGGACGAAGGCCUUCGGGUUGUAAACCUCUUUUAGCAGGGAAGAAGCGAAAGUGACGGUACCUGCAGAAAAAGCACCGGCUAACUACGUGCCAGCAGCCGCGGUAAUACGUAGGGUGCAAGCGUUGUCCGGAAUUAUUGGGCGUAAAGAGCUCGUAGGCGGUUUGUCGCGUCUGCUGUGAAAAUCCGGGGCUCAACCUCGGACUUGCAGUGGGUACGGGCAGGCUAGAGUGCGGUAGGGGAGACGGGAAUUCCUGGUGUAGCGGUGGAAUGCGCAGAUAUCAGGAGGAACACCGAUGGCGAAGGCACGUCUCUGGGCCGUAACUGACGCUGAGGAGCGAAAAGCGUGGGGAGCGAACAGGAUUAGAUACCCUGGUAGUCCACGCCGUAAACGGUGGGUGCUAGCUGUGGGCCACAUUCCACGUGGUCCGUGACGAAGUUAACACAUUAAGCACCCCGCCUGGGGAGUACGGCCGCAAGGCUAAAACUCAAAGGAAUUGACGGGGGCCCGCACAAGCGGCGGAGCAUGCGGAUUAAUUCGAUGCAACGCGAAGAACCUUACCAAGGCUUGACAUAUAGAGGAAAAGUGCAGAAAUGUACUCCCCGCAAGGUCUCUAUACAGGUGGUGCAUGGUUGUCGUCAGCUCGUGUCGUGAGAUGUUGGGUUAAGUCCCGCAACGAGCGCAACCCUCGUCCUAUGUUGCCAGCACGUAAUGGUGGGAACUCAUGGGAUACUGCCGGGGUCAACUCGGAGGAAGGUGGGGAUGACGUCAAAUCAUCAUGCCCCUUAUGUCUUGGGCUUCACGCAUGCUACAAUGGCCGGUACAGAGGGCUGCAAUACCGUAAGGUGGAGCGAAUCCCAAAAAGCCGGUCUCAGUUCGGAUUGAGGUCUGCAACUCGACCUCAUGAAGUCGGAGUCGCUAGUAAUCGUAGAUCAGCAACGCUACGGUGAAUACGUUCCCGGGCCUUGUACACACCGCCCGUCAAGUCACGAAAGUCGGUAACACCCGAAGCCGGUGGCCUAACCGUAAGGAGGGAGCCGUCGAAGGUGGGAUUGGUGAUUGGG